GCGUUCGUAGCUCAGUUGGAUAGAGUGGCGGACUUCGAAUCCGUUGGUCGGGGGUUCGAGCCCCUCCGGACGCG
Molecule: transfer RNA, 74 nt
Filed under: Spirochaetales bacterium
Lineage: Bacteria; Pseudomonadati; Spirochaetota; Spirochaetia; Spirochaetales
Description: tRNA-Arg
Rfam family: tRNA
About the family: Transfer RNA (tRNA) molecules are approximately 80 nucleotides in length. Their secondary structure includes four short double-helical elements and three loops (D, anti-codon, and T loops).
Source: RNAcentral